ACGGGUGAGUAACGCGUAGGUAACCUGCCUGGUAGCGGGGGAUAACUAUUGGAAACGAUAGCUAAUACCGCAUAAAAUUGAUUAUUGCAUGAUAGUCAAUUAAAAGGUGCAAUUGCAUCACUACCAGAUGGACCUGCGUUGUAUUAGCUAGUUGGUGGGGUAACGGCUCACCAAGGCAACGAUACAUAGCCGACCUGAGAGGGUGAUCGGCCACACUGGGACUGAGACACGGCCCAGACUCCUACGGGAGGCAGCAGUAGGGAAUCUUCGGCAAUGGACAGAAGUCUGACCGAGCAACGCCGCGUGAGUGAAGAAGGUUUUCGGAUCGUAAAGCUCUGUUGUAAGAGAAGAACGAGUGUGAGAGUGGAAAGUUCACACUGUGACGGUAUCUUACCAGAAAGGGACGGCUAACUACGUGCCAGCAGCCGCGGUAACACGUAAGGUGCGAGCGUUGUUCGGAAUUAUUGGGCGUAAAGGGCAUGCAGGCGGGUCGCCAAGCUUGGUAAGAAAUACCGGGGCUCAACUCCGGAGCUAUAUUGAGAACUGGCGAGCUAGAGUUGCCGAAGGGUAUCCGGAAUUCCGUGUGAAGGGGUGAAAUCUGUAGAUAUGCGGAAGAACACCGAUGGCGAAGGCAGGAUACCGGCGGACGACUGACGCUGAGGUGCGAAGGUGCGGGGAGCAAACAGGAUUAGAUACCCU
This 699-nucleotide ribosomal RNA is filed under the name uncultured bacterium. Its description in RNAcentral is "bacterial SSU rRNA". It matches the Rfam family "Bacterial small subunit ribosomal RNA", at positions 102 to 788 of the family's 1533-position model. The record is from RNAcentral.